GUCCAUCACGCCACUGACGCUCAUGCACGAAAGCGUGGGUAUCGAACAGGAUUAGAUACCCUGGUAGUCCACGCGGUAAACGAUGAUAACUAGUUAUCCGGCGCGAUUGAGUGUUGGGUGACCGAGCGAAAGCGUUAAGUUAUCCACCUGGGGAGUACGCCGGCAACGGUGAAACUCAAAGGAAUUGACGGGGGCCCGCACAAGCGGAGGAACAUGUGGUUUAAUUCGAUGAUACGCGAGGAACCUUACCCGGGCUCAAACGCAUCGCGCUACACCCUGAAAGGGGUGGUUCUUCGGACGCGAUGCGAGGUGCUGCAUGGUUGUCGUCAGCUCGUGCCGUGAGGUGUCGGCUUAAGUGCCAUAACGAGCGCAACCCCCAUCUUCAGUUGCCAUCGGGUUAAGCCGGGCACUCUGGAGAGACUGCCGGCGCAAGCUGUGAGGAAGGCGGGGAUGACGUCAAAUCAGCACGGCCCUUACGUCCGGGGCGACACACGUGUUACAAUGGCGGGGCACAGCGGGAAGCCAGGCGGCGACGCCGAGCUGAUCCCGAAAACCCGUCUCAGUUCGGAUCGGAGUCUGCAACCCGACUCCGUGAAGCUGG
Molecule: ribosomal RNA, 601 nt
Filed under: uncultured bacterium
Lineage: Bacteria
Description: bacterial SSU rRNA
Rfam family: Bacterial small subunit ribosomal RNA
Source: RNAcentral